Molecule: ribosomal RNA, 433 nt
Filed under: uncultured Thauera sp.
Lineage: Bacteria; Pseudomonadati; Pseudomonadota; Betaproteobacteria; Rhodocyclales; Zoogloeaceae
Description: bacterial SSU rRNA
Rfam family: Bacterial small subunit ribosomal RNA
Source: RNAcentral
UUAAUUCGAUGCAACGCGAAAACCUUACGUACCCUUGACAUGUCUGGAACCUUGGUGAGAGCCGAGGUGCCUUCGGGAGCCAGAACACAGGUGCUGCAUGGCUGUCGUCAGCUCGUGUCGUGAGAUGUUGGGUUAAGUCCCGCAACGAGCGCAACCCUUGUCACUAGUUGCCAUCAUUUAGUUGGGCACUCUAGUGAGACUGCCGGUGACAAACCGGAGGAAGGUGGGGAUGACGUCAAGUCCUCAUGGCCUUUAUGACCAGGGCUACACACGUACUACAAUGGCCGAUACAAAGGGCAGCGACACUGCGAGGUGGAGCCAAUCCCAUAAAAUCGGUCUCAGUCCGGAUUGGAGUCUGCAACUCGACUCCAUGAAGUUGGAAUCGCUAGUAAUCGCAGGUCAGCAUACUGCGGUGAAUACGUUCCCGGGUCUU